GGCUUUGCUUUUCUCAGAGGAUUGCGGUGACGUCACCUCGCCACCUCUGAAGCGCUGACUGAGUUCAGCGGACAUCACAGAGCAGCAGGAUUUCUGUAAGAAAAUGUCUGGAAAGGGGGAAAGGGAGACACAGAGAACUGAAUUUGAAUGGACCUCCUGGGUGGAGUGACGCCUUAAAAUUAGCAUUGUAAUAGCGUCUGCAGCUUUCUACAGAGAACAUCAAGGUCAAAACCAUUCAUCAAAAUAUCCAGGGCUUCAGGUGAAGGCAGAAGUCCAGAUGGGUCUGUGGGGAUGGAGGAUGUGUCCAGUUUAUCACCAAACACUUCAGUCAGAUACUGAGCCAUCUUCUUCUGCUGAGGGACACUGCAGUGAUUCUCAAUGGAAAGAAUCACUGGAUACCUGAGGAUAUAUAGUCCAAAACAUACAUUUACCCAUCUAUGAAAAUUUGAAAUGUCAUUAAAUUGUGAGACAGAA
Long non-coding RNA from Megalobrama amblycephala (Wuchang bream), 474 nucleotides. RefSeq lists it as uncharacterized. NCBI's taxonomy places the organism in Eukaryota, Metazoa, Chordata, Actinopteri, Cypriniformes, Xenocyprididae. The transcript is spliced from 3 exons. The record is from RefSeq and is a predicted model, not a curated record.